GCCCCUGUAGCUCAGAGGAUAGAGCGCUGGCCUCCGGAGCCAGGUGCGAGGGUUCGAUUCCCUCCAGGGGUGCCA
Molecule: transfer RNA, 75 nt
Filed under: Dehalococcoidia bacterium
Lineage: Bacteria; Bacillati; Chloroflexota; Dehalococcoidia
Description: tRNA-Arg
Rfam family: tRNA
About the family: Transfer RNA (tRNA) molecules are approximately 80 nucleotides in length. Their secondary structure includes four short double-helical elements and three loops (D, anti-codon, and T loops). Further hydrogen bonds mediate the characteristic L-shaped molecular structure. tRNAs have two regions of fundamental functional importance: the anti-codon, which is responsible for specific mRNA codon recognition, and the 3' end, to which the tRNAs corresponding amino acid is attached (by aminoacyl-tRNA synthetases). tRNAs cope with the degeneracy of the genetic code in two manners: having more than one tRNA (with a specific anti-codon) for a particular amino acid; and 'wobble' base-pairing, i.e. permitting non-standard base-pairing at the 3rd anti-codon position.
Source: RNAcentral